AACGAACGCUGGCGGCAUGCCUAACACAUGCAAGUCGAACGAGACCUUCGGGCCUAGUGGCGCACGGGUGCGUAACGCGUGGGAACCUGCCCUUAGGUUCGGAAUAACUCCCCGAAAGGGGUGCUAAUACCGGAUAAUGUCUUCGGACCAAAGAUUUAUCGCCUUUGGAUGGGCCCGCGUUGGAUUAGCUAGUUGGUAGGGUAAAAGCCUACCAAGGCGACGAUCCAUAGCUGGUCUGAGAGGAUGAUCAGCCACACUGGGACUGAGACACGGCCCAGACUCCUACGGGAGGCAGCAGUGGGGAAUAUUGGACACUGGGCGAAAGCCUGAUCCAGCAAUGCCGCGUGAGUGAUGAAGGCCUUAGGGUUGUAAAGCUCUUUUACCCGGGAUGAUAAUGACAGUACCGGGUGAAUAAGCUCCGGCUAACUCCGUG
This 433-nucleotide ribosomal RNA is filed under the name uncultured bacterium. RNAcentral's name for it is "partial 16S ribosomal RNA". It matches the Rfam family "Bacterial small subunit ribosomal RNA", at positions 29 to 507 of the family's 1533-position model. The record is from RNAcentral.